UCUACUCUACUUGGCCUUCCUGUCUGGCCUCACUACGUCACAACCCUUUAACAAACAGUCUGGUAUCACUGCAAUCUUUGAGGCUUACUGAAUGUAUUUUAAACGCAGUUAAGUUAGGCCAUUAUAAUCGCCUAACUUAAUUGCCACCUAUUCGCAAAAGGGAAAUGUUCAAUUUUAAGUUACUGUGGGAUAUUACCUGGGUCCUAGCACAAUCAGAAACAGAUGUUGAUGGAUGUGAUGAAGAGGAUGAUAAGGAUGAUGAUGAGAGGACAAUGAUGACCCCAGUGACAACAAACACAUCCUGUCUGGUGAUGCUGGACAUCUGAAGAGAGUCUGGAUUGAAAAUGAGUUGGAUCUUUUGAAGGCGUGAUAACCUGGUGUGUUGAUAUUGCCCAGAUGCUCAGAGCAGGGAACACGGGUUGCUUUGGGGUAAGACUAUGCCUUAUAGCAGCACCAUAAAAUAUGACAGUUUCACUUGUGGUAACAAAAAUAAAAUACAGUAAGAAUGAGAGAUAAAAGGUGAAUUCAAGAAUGUCAGAUUGAUAGAAUGACAGAUGUAAAGCUGUAACCC
This is a long non-coding RNA of Monopterus albus (swamp eel), 571 nucleotides long. RefSeq lists it as uncharacterized. Lineage: Eukaryota; Metazoa; Chordata; Actinopteri; Synbranchiformes; Synbranchidae. The record is from RefSeq and is a predicted model, not a curated record. The transcript has 3 exons.